UACGUAGGGGGCAAGCGUUAUCCGGAUUUACUGGGUGUAAAGGGAGCGUAGACGGCCAUUCAAGCCAGAUGUGAAAGCCCGGGGCUCAACCCCGGGACUGCAUUUGGAACUGUAUGGCUGGAGUGUCGGAGAGGCAGGCGGAAUUCCUAGUGUAGCGGUGAAAUGCGUAGAUAUUAGGAGGAACACCAGUGGCGAAGGCGGCCUGCUGGACGAUGACUGGCGUUGAGGCUCGAAAGCGUGGGGAGCAAACAGG
This 253-nucleotide ribosomal RNA is filed under the name uncultured bacterium. RNAcentral's name for it is "partial 16S ribosomal RNA". It matches the Rfam family "Bacterial small subunit ribosomal RNA", at positions 524 to 776 of the family's 1533-position model. The record is from RNAcentral.